Long non-coding RNA from Numida meleagris (helmeted guineafowl), 1658 nucleotides. The record is from Ensembl. Lineage: Eukaryota; Metazoa; Chordata; Aves; Galliformes; Numididae.
AGAGGGCUUUUAAUACAUUUUUCCUGUCCUUUUAAAUCCUGCAUUCCUCUUGACAGAGUUGGCCAGUGCUAAGGCUAUUAACAGGUGAGCAAGCUCGGCUGAAGAAACUGGAGCAGAAGUUAAAGGAGGAGGAGGACUAGGAAUGUGGACUCUUCUUGAAUGUAUUGGUAGUCUUGUUGCCAUAAGGUUAAUGUUGUUUGCCUCAGGAUGAGCAUUAAAGUUGUCUGGAAGCUGCUGCUUUUGUGAGCGAGAUGUGUUCCUUUACGCUUGCUGCUAUGCAUCGUGUUCAUGAGUAGUUUCCUGGAAUAAAAUGAGCUCUUCCAAGAUGGGUAGAAAUAUUGCUACUGGUUAUAACUGUAAUGCUGAAUUUUGAAUACAGAGGCAAGACGCACAGCAACAGCGGAGAGAUGAGGCAUCUCAGGGAGCUGCAGCUAUUGGAUUUUAAAUGAACUUCCCCUCCUUGCUCGUGUCUCAAAGCAUGCAUCUCUUAGGGAAGGCAUAUAAAGAGAAAAAAGCAGAAAAAAAAGACCAACAGCUUAACAAAUGGGCACAGCUUGUGGUUUAAAAAUAACACAACAUCCAGAAGCCAAACUGUUUUCAUUGGAUGUGGUAAGUGUUAACAUUUCACCUUCAAUGGCAGCAGUAUUUACAUUUGUUUGCAUCAAAAAGGAACUUCAUUUUCUCACCUAAAUAGAAGAAGUCAGUGAAUGUCAUGAGUAUAUCUGAAUUCAGUUGCUGACCCACUGAAAAUUUUAAAGGUUUACAGAGUUUUAAGAUUACUGCGAAGUUCCUAUGAAUAUUUGACCAAACAACCUCUGUGAGUGACAAUUACUACUGAUACUUCUAGAAAAUCAUUUAUUCAAGAAAAUGACAUCUGCUUGUGUAAGAAGUUUGUCAAAGUGGAAAGACAAUUCACUUUGAAAGGUGAAAAACUAAUGAAAUAACUGUACCUAUGCCAUAAGAAAGUGGGAUAAAACACUGCUCUCACCUCUGUAAAGGGCUCUUCAAGACAACAUUACUGUCUCCAGCACUGGAUGACUAAGAAUGAAAAACUUACUUCAGGAUUGAUGAACAUAUUAAUAGAUAGCAUGUUAGGAUAAGAAAUGGAAACAGAUGCCUUGCCUGUCAUGAACCUAAGAAUUCUGUCAACAAGAAUACUGAUGUACAAAUAGUGUGAGCUGUUAAGGAAAACAAAAUUAUCAAAUAUAUUCAUCUAUUUUAAAAUAUUUCAUUAGUAUUUUAAACAUUUUAUUUGGUAUAAGUAGAUUUUUCUUUACUUAAUCCUACACUCCUUUCUUUUUCUUUUCUUUUGGUUUAUGAUUACUAAAGUUAGACUUGGGUUUGAAAAGUCUUAAAAAAGUAGAAAAUAAGUAAUUCCUUGGUGUCUUGUGACUAAAAUAUAACUUAUUUGAAGCAUGUCCAGUCAAAAAGUCUACUAUUUUUAAAGAUAAAUGUUCCGUUUGUGACUUAACCAUAAAAGCUUCAGAUCUAAUUCUGACCUGACCCGGAGCAACCCUCUUGCUGGCUGAAGGUCUAAAUUCAAUCUUGUUUUCAAAUCUUAGCUUUAACUGCGGUUCUGUGUCUGCAUCAUCCUUGAAGAGAAGAGAUAUUGGGGCAUAUAUUAAUAAAUGACUUAAGAAGAAAAGGAAGGAAUUCCA